Molecule: ribosomal RNA, 458 nt
Filed under: uncultured Myxococcales bacterium
Lineage: Bacteria; Pseudomonadati; Myxococcota; Myxococcia; Myxococcales
Description: bacterial SSU rRNA
Rfam family: Bacterial small subunit ribosomal RNA
Source: RNAcentral
ACGGGAGGCAGCAGUGGGGAAUCUUGCGCAAUGGGCGAAAGCCUGACGCAGCGACGCCGCGUGAGCGAUGAAGGCCUUCGGGUUGUAAAGCUCUGUGGAGGGGGACGAAUAAGGGCCGUCGAAUAGGCGGCCCGAUGACGGUACCCCUUUAGCAAGCACCGGCUAACUCUGUGCCAGCAGCCGCGGUAAGACAGAGGGUGCAAACGUUGUUCGGAAUUACUGGGCGUAAAGCGCGUGUAGGCGGCUUGGCAAGUCGGAUGUGAAAGCCCUGGGCUUAACCUAGGAAGUGCAUUCGAAACUGCCUGGCUGGAGUUCUGGAGAGGAAGGCGGAAUUCUCGGUGUAGAGGUGAAAUUCGUAGAUAUCGAGAGGAACACCGGUGGCGAAGGCGGCCUUCUGGACAGCAACUGACGCUGAGACGCGAAAGCGUGGGGAGCAAACAGGAUUAGAUACCCUGGUA